GCCCUUAUAGUCCAAUUGGCAGAGGCACUAGGUUAAGAUCCUAGAUAGUGAGAGUUCGAAUCUCUCUAAGGGUA
Molecule: transfer RNA, 74 nt
Filed under: Hydrotalea sp. AMD
Lineage: Bacteria; Pseudomonadati; Bacteroidota; Chitinophagia; Chitinophagales; Chitinophagaceae
Description: tRNA-Leu
Rfam family: tRNA
About the family: Transfer RNA (tRNA) molecules are approximately 80 nucleotides in length. Their secondary structure includes four short double-helical elements and three loops (D, anti-codon, and T loops). Further hydrogen bonds mediate the characteristic L-shaped molecular structure. tRNAs have two regions of fundamental functional importance: the anti-codon, which is responsible for specific mRNA codon recognition, and the 3' end, to which the tRNAs corresponding amino acid is attached (by aminoacyl-tRNA synthetases). tRNAs cope with the degeneracy of the genetic code in two manners: having more than one tRNA (with a specific anti-codon) for a particular amino acid; and 'wobble' base-pairing, i.e. permitting non-standard base-pairing at the 3rd anti-codon position.
Source: RNAcentral